GUGUCGUAUGAAAGGAGAGAGAGUUAGUACUUCCAUUGCUAAGGAUGGAAGGAGGUCUAGUGCUCUCAUAACAUAUAAAUGAUUGAGGCAUUGCCAUCUACUUAGGUGCAUCUUUGAUUUUGU
Small nuclear RNA from Mobula hypostoma (lesser devil ray), 123 nucleotides. The record is from RefSeq and is a predicted model, not a curated record. NCBI's taxonomy places the organism in Eukaryota, Metazoa, Chordata, Chondrichthyes, Myliobatiformes, Myliobatidae.